RNAcentral lists this ribosomal RNA (477 nucleotides) under uncultured bacterium. RNAcentral's name for it is "bacterial SSU rRNA". It matches the Rfam family "Bacterial small subunit ribosomal RNA", at positions 28 to 509 of the family's 1533-position model. The record is from RNAcentral.
GAUGAACGCUAGCGGCAGGCUUAACACAUGCAAGUCGAGGGGUAUAGUAGCAAUACUAGAGACCGGCGCACGGGUGCGUAACGCGUAUGCAAUCUACCUUUUGCAGAGGGAUAGCCCAGAGAAAUUUGGAUUAAUACCUCAUAGUAUUAUAGUAUGGCAUCAUAUUAUAAUUAAAGUCACAACGGCAAAAGAUGAGCAUGCGUCCCAUUAGUUAGUUGGUAAGGUAACGGCUUACCAAGACUACGAUGGGUAGGGGUCCUGAGAGGGAGAUCCCCCACACUGGUACUGAGACACGGACCAGACUCCUACGGGAGGCAGCAGUGAGGAAUAUUGGACAAUGGGCGCAAGCCUGAUCCAGCCAUGCCGCGUGCAGGAUGACGGUCCUAUGGAUUGUAAACUGCUUUUGCACAGGAAGAACAACGCUACGUGUAGCGUCUUGACGGUACUGUGAGAAUAAGGAUCGGCUAACUCCGUGCC